UUUCAUAAUACUGUUCUAAAUGUGUUUUUGUUUUCAGUUAUUUUUCCUCCUCUAGCCAGUUAAUCCAUACUUUAUAUCAGUAAGAUAAGAUAAAUUUUAUGGCAACAAUCUACUCAAGCAGUGGGGCUUUUCUAUCAUUUUUUUGUUUAAUGAGCUUCAAUUAAAUUUUUUCAGGGAUUUCUAGAUGUUUCCCAAGUUACCAACGUGUGCCAGGUAUGGAUUCUGUGGUGGAGGUACAUUCUUGAGCUAUAACCUAGUGAAAAAAACACAAUUCCUAACAUGUGUUAAGUGUGGAUCAUAUCCUGGAAUUACGUUCUUUGGAAGAGCCUAUUGAGAAAGUAGACAAGGAAACUGGUGUUUUAUAGCAGGUAAGUUUAGUGGUAAUUUGUUAGACAAUAAUAGUAACUAGAAUAUC
Molecule: long non-coding RNA, 415 nt
Filed under: Bos indicus x Bos taurus (hybrid cattle)
Lineage: Eukaryota; Metazoa; Chordata; Mammalia; Artiodactyla; Bovidae
Description: lncRNA (ENSBIXG00005003686.1)
Source: RNAcentral